ACCUAGCCACAACACACAAUUAAAGUACCAAUUGUUCGCCAAACAACUACGAGUAGUAACUUAAAACUUAAAAGACUUGACGGUGCUUCAUCACAACCUAGAGGAGCCUGUCCAAUAACCGAUAACCCACGAUUAACCCCACCCCCUCUCGCCAACAGUCUAUAUACCACCGUCGCAAGCUUACCCUGUAAAAGAAACAAAGUAGGCUAAAAAGUUCUACACUAAAACGACAGGUCGAGGUGUAACUUAUGAGGGGGCAAAGAUGGGCUACACUCUCUUAUCAGAGAACACGAACAACACUACGAACACAGUGAUCGAAGGAGGAUUUAGCAGUAAGAUAAG
Molecule: ribosomal RNA, 342 nt
Filed under: Montivipera latifii (Latifi's viper)
Lineage: Eukaryota; Metazoa; Chordata; Lepidosauria; Squamata; Viperidae
Description: partial 12S ribosomal RNA
Source: RNAcentral